AUGAUGGCCACGAUAUAAUGAAACCACAUUGUGGCCAAGGGAGCAGCAACACUGCCUCUGUGGAGCAGCCAGAGGAGGAAGAAGAGGAGGAGGAGGAAGGCGCAAGGCGCACGCAGGAACGCAGGAGGGAGAAGCCGAGGCGCAGGAAGAAACUUCUCGGAGGAAGAAGAGGAGGAGGGGGAGGAAGACCCAGAGUGGAAUUCUCCGUGGGGGAGAGAAGAGAAGCGACAGAAAGAAGCGGAGGGUUCCCUGCACUCCUUCCCUGGAGCUCCUGGAAGGAAGAAUCCCGAGAUUGGCGCCAGGAGCGAACUUGGGAGAGCUGCGUCGGAAUGGCACCUGUUUCUGGCCACGUUUUUGUGUUCCAGGUGGGAGGGCAUCGAGGAGGAGGUAAAGGUGGCCGGAGACGGAGAAGAGGGUGUGCUUGCUUCCGAGAUAAAAGGAGAAGAAGAGCUCUAUCUCCCUUGCCUUUGGUUUUGUGGCUUUGGGGGGAGAAGAGGAAGGCGCGCCAAGGAGGCCAAGGGCUGCUUUGUUGAACUUUUCCUCCCAUUUUCUCAAUUCUAACUCUGCUGUGUCAUCAUGAGGAGACAUUAUCAGCUUGGCGCCUGAGAAGCGGAUUUCAUUGACUGAAGAACUAUUUGGUAGUUUCCAAGGCAACUACCUGAAGAACCAUUUUAAAAAAUCCCAAAACGACAGAAGGCUUUUGUAUGAGGUGAAAGGUUGUGUACACUUCUUUCAUCCACUCCAUCUUCCCUUUUUUUGGAAAACAAAUUGUUUUGUUUCUUCUCAAGAACGUUUCCAUCUUUUACUACUGAGAAUCUUUGAAGUCUAGCCAGGAGGUUGAUUAUACAAUGGAGAAUUGGACCAAAUCUCAUGGGUCAUCACAAAGAAAUGGCCUUAUGGGAGGAAGAAUCCCUCCUAAAUCUUCAACCUUGAAAGAGAACAAUCUCCAGGUACCUCCGUGGAUGAGGUCAUUCUUUGGAAAUGAUCCCAGAUCUUCUACUGCCUUCUGGAUCCAUGUUAAUUUAUGACUCCUUCAACCAGGUGUUUCUCCAACCUGCCUUGAUUUCCAACAAUGGUAGCUCCUUCAUACAACUCCUAGACAAUCUGUUUUAUUACAUUACCUAGUUGUUCCUAAUUUCUAAACUUUGGAACUCAUUUUAUUUUGCCCACAAUUGACCGAAAGAUCUGAUCAUCAUUUUCUUCAAGACAAUCCAAUCUGUUAUGGUUUCCUCACUGUCGUCUCCAAAUUAAGCAAGUUUCUGACUCCAGGCUUCCAUCACAAUGCCCUGCCAUUGUGGUUCAGGAGUGUAAGUGGCCAGGCGCUUGUUGCUAUGGCCUACUAUUGUGAUGUGGCCAGCAUUGUGGAGCAGCUCAGUGGAGUAAAUUCCUGUCUUCUGUUAGUCAGAAAGACUACUUCAGGUUGGAGUUUGGAGAAAGGCUCAGACAGCUUAGAAGAUAAUGGUGGAAGUCCAUCCUUUUGUGCUACUAAAGAGAGAACAUGCAAAUGAAAUCCUGGGUGUGGCGAAGCCGCUACCUCGAACCUGAUCUGUCAUUUGGAUUAUGCACUCUUCGUUUGCUCCAUCGUAAUUACUCUCCCCACCAAGUGCAUCCGAUGAAACUAUAUGAAGGCAGGACUUUGGGACGGCUACUUGGAAUGCACCUUAAAGACCUGGAUGACGACAUCUGGAAGUAAGUGAAACAAUACAACA
Anolis sagrei ordinatus is the source of this 1709-nucleotide long non-coding RNA. RefSeq lists it as uncharacterized. The record is from RefSeq and is a predicted model, not a curated record. Lineage: Eukaryota; Metazoa; Chordata; Lepidosauria; Squamata; Anolidae.